CUGAGAUGGCAUCAUCAGAAGGGUACCUCUCUCAAUCCACUGCCUAUUCUCUUCAUCUUGUAUCUUACUCUCUGGAAUUCGACUUGGACUUAUACCAUCCACACUCCUGGUUCUCAGGCCUUCAGUCUCAGACUGGAACUCACACCACCAGCUUUCCUGGGUCUCCAGUUUGCAGACAGCAGAGCAGUAGAUCAUGGGACUUCUCAGCCUCCAUAACUGAAAAGAGAGAGAAAGUUAUCACCCAAACUGGAUCACGGAGACAUACAUGUGAAAAGGUGCUUCAAGCAGAGGAUUUGCGUAUGGUCCUAAUCCCCCACUGCGUGUACGUGAAGCUAUCUGCCAGGUGAAAGCACAUGGAGGAUGGAGGAAUACAGUGAAAAGGAAAUGAGAACACAGUAGCCCCCUGUUGGAAACCCAGCUGUAAUUUCUAGCAUUCAGAUACAUCAUGGGGCACAUCACGACCUUGAACCAUAAACAUAUAUGCAGUAAAAGCCC
Molecule: long non-coding RNA, 495 nt
Filed under: Equus caballus (horse)
Lineage: Eukaryota; Metazoa; Chordata; Mammalia; Perissodactyla; Equidae
Description: lncRNA (ENSECAG00000049610.1)
Source: RNAcentral